AAGGGAAACAGCCCAGACCAUCAGCUAAGGUCCCAAAGUGUAAGUUAAGUGGAAAAGGAUGUGGGAUUUCUAAGACAACUAGGAUGUUGGCUUAGAAGCAGCCACUCAUUUAAAGAGUGCGUAAUAGCUCACUAGUCAAGAGAUCCUGCGCCGAAGAUGUCCGGGGCUCAAACUUACCACCGAAGCUAUGGGUGUACACUAUGUGUACGCGGUAGAGGAGCUUUCUGUAUGGGUUGAAGUCGUACCGUAAGGAGCGGUGGACUGUACAGAAGUGAGAAUGCUGGCAUAAGUAGCGAGAAAUAAGUGAGAAUCUUAUUGGCCGAAAACCUAAGGUUUCCUGAGGAAGGUUCGUCCGCUCAGGGUUAGUCGGGACCUAAGCCGAGGCCGAAAGGCGUAGGUGAUGGACAAUCGGUUGAUAUUCCGAUACCACCUAUUUACGUUUGAGAAAUGGGGUGACGCAGUAGGAUAAGAUGUGCGCACUAUUGGAUGUGCGUCUAAGCACUUAGGCAUGCUUGAUAGGCAAAUCCGUCGAGCUAAGCUGAGGUGUGAUGGGGAGCCAUUUAUGGCGAAGUAUCUGAUUCCACACUGCCAAGAAAAGCCUCUAUCGAGUGAAUAGGUGCCCGUACCGCAAACCGACACAGGUAGGUGAGGAGAGAAUCCUAAGGCCAUCGGAAGAAUUGCUGUUAAGGAACUCGGCAAAUUGACCCCGUAACUUCGGGAGAAGGGGUGCCUACGAAAGUAGGCCGCAGAGAAUAGGCCCAAGCAACUGUUUAGCAAAAACACAGGUCUCUGCUAAAGCGAAAGCUGAUGUAUAGGGGCUGACGCCUGCCCGGUGCUGGAAGGUUAAGGGGAACACUUAGCGUAAGCGAAGGUGUGAACUUAAGCCCCAGUAAACGGCGGCCGUAACUAUAACGGUCCUAAGGUAGCGAAAUUCCUUGUCGGGUAAGUUCCGACCCGCACGAAUGGCGUAAUGAUUUGGGCACUGUCUCAACAGCAAAUCCGGCGAAAUUGUAGUGCAAGUGAAGAUGCUUGCUACCCGCGAUUGGACGGAAAGACCCCGUAGAGCUUUACUGUAGCUUAGCAUUGAAUCUCGGUAUUGUCUGUACAGGAUAGGUGGGAGACUUGGAAGCUUGGGCGUCAGCCUGAGUGGAGUCAUCCUUGGGAUACCACCCUGACAGUACUGGGGUUCUAACCGGCGGCCAUGAAUCUGGUCACGGGACAUUGUUAGGUGGGCAGUUUGACUGGGGCGGUCGCCUCCUAAAAAGUAACGGAGGCGCCCAAAAGUUCCCUCAGCGCGGUCGGAAAUCGCGCGAAGAGUGCAAAGGCAGAAGGGAGCUUGACUGCGACACAUACAGGUGGAGCAGGGACGAAAGUCGGGCUUAGUGAUCCGGUGGUACCUCGUGGGAGGGCCAUCGCUCAACGGAUAAAAGCUACCUCGGGGAUAACAGGCUGAUCUCCCCCAAGAGUCCACAUCGACGGGGAGGUUUGGCACCUCGAUGUCGGCUCGUCGCAUCCUGGGGCUGAAGUAGGUCCCAAGGGUUGGGCUGUUCGCCCAUUAAAGCGGCACGCGAGCUGGGUUCAGAACGUCGUGAGACAGUUCGGUCCCUAUCCGUCGCGGGCGUAGGAAAUUUGAGAGGAGCUGUCCUUAGUACGAGAGGACCGGGAUGGACCAACCUCUGGUGCACCAGUUGUCACGCCAGUG
RNAcentral lists this ribosomal RNA (1702 nucleotides) under Clostridium botulinum CDC54091. RNAcentral describes it as "bacterial LSU rRNA". It matches the Rfam family "Bacterial large subunit ribosomal RNA", at positions 1015 to 2734 of the family's 2925-position model. The record is from RNAcentral. Lineage: Bacteria; Bacillati; Bacillota; Clostridia; Eubacteriales; Clostridiaceae.